RNAcentral lists this ribosomal RNA (270 nucleotides) under uncultured prokaryote. RNAcentral's name for it is "partial 16S ribosomal RNA". It matches the Rfam family "Archaeal small subunit ribosomal RNA", at positions 474 to 743 of the family's 1478-position model. The record is from RNAcentral.
UACUAGCGGUCCAAGUCGCAGCCAUAUUUAUUGGGUCUAAAACAUCCGUAGCUUGUCAAGUAAGUUUCUUAUGAAAUCCUGGGUCUUAAACUCAGGGCGUGUAGGAAGUACUGCUUAGCUAGAGACCGGAAGACGCAGGAAGUACGUUUAAAGUAACGGUAAAAUGUGUUGAUCUUAAACGGACUAACAAUAGCGAAGGCAUCCUGCGAGGACGGUUCUGACAGUAAGGGAUGAAGGCUAGGGGCGCAAAACGGAUUAGAUACCCUCGUA